UGCCCAGCACCUCCUAUCCCUACCUCCUCGCGGUACUGGCCGGGGUACGAGUAACCUUAGGGAAGAUCGGGUAACCAACCCCCGGUGGGAACUCUGGUCGUAUGCUGACAGGGAAGG
This 117-nucleotide ribozyme is filed under the name Aedes aegypti (yellow fever mosquito). RNAcentral's name for it is "drz-agam-1 ribozyme". It matches the Rfam family "drz-agam-1 ribozyme". Lineage: Eukaryota; Metazoa; Arthropoda; Insecta; Diptera; Culicidae. The record is from Rfam by way of RNAcentral.